GAUAACAGCACAAUCCUAUUCUAGAGUCCAUAUCAACAAUAGGGUUUACAACCUCAGUGUUGGAUCAGGACAUCCUAAUGAUGUAGCUGCUAUCAAGCGUUCGUUUGUUCAAUGAUUAAAGUCCUACGUGAUCUGAGUUCAGACCGGAGCAAUCCAGGUC
Molecule: non-coding RNA, 160 nt
Filed under: Nomascus leucogenys (northern white-cheeked gibbon)
Lineage: Eukaryota; Metazoa; Chordata; Mammalia; Primates; Hylobatidae
Description: Bacterial large subunit ribosomal RNA
Rfam family: Bacterial large subunit ribosomal RNA
Source: Rfam by way of RNAcentral